Molecule: long non-coding RNA, 4338 nt
Organism: Doryrhamphus excisus (bluestripe pipefish)
Lineage: Eukaryota; Metazoa; Chordata; Actinopteri; Syngnathiformes; Syngnathidae
Source: RefSeq, a predicted model, not a curated record
AAGGUACUUCAGGUCACCUCGUUCAGUUACCUUAAUAACACAAGCUCGCUAGCUUUACAUUUUUAAACAAUUUGUUGACAUUGUUAUUCGUGGUAUUGAGUCACUCCAAGUGUAUGUUAUUCCACGUUACCUUUUCCAGAGAGGAGGUGCUAUCAGGCGAAGCACUUCCGCAUAGUUUUAGGUCAAGAUCAGGUACUUGAAGUUAGCCAUCGUCGACAUGCUAACUAACUCAUCAACUCUAUAUAACUUUGGACCGUAUUGCUCAUUUUAUUGAUCCAAAGGACAACAAGCUGCCUACAUCUGACUGAUAAGGCAACAUACGACGAGUCAAAAUCUUCAGACCUGAAAAGAAAGAAAUCAGUGUGUCGCCCGUGAUCACCGCUCUGGAGGGCUUUCCCACCAUGGAUCGAUUUCCCGCUGACCUUUAGGUCGGACACGACCACACCAGCGUCAAGACCUGCCGUCAUCAACAGGAGCGCUGACAGGAAGGAGACUGGAAAGAUGCAAAAGGUGCAGAUACGCGCUAUGAAGAAGUUGCCUGCAGGGCAGAUGUUAAACACACUGUGACUGAGACACCGAGAAAUGUGGAAAACCAAGCGGUUCUUCGGCUUAAAUUCAAGCUGGCAGUCUUGAACCAUCACGUUUGUCCAUCAAACAGCGGCGUUCCUGUCCGUCAAAAGGUCACAUGAGAGCAGCUUGCCCGGACAUGGAGGCCUCAGAAAUCCUUCUGCUGUGAAAGCGAUCCACUCAGCCCACACAGAGGUGGGUAGCAAUCGAUGGGGAUGCACACUGGGGCCCCUGGCGAGAGAGACCCAAGCCAUCUGGAUAUGUUAGCGGGCUGACAGAGGAGGCCCACUGUGCAGGUAUACAGCGAGGGUGGAAUGGGCUGAGAUUUUGCCAAGACUGGUGGUAACACACACAGAAUCCUACACGCUCCUCACGAUGGCAGAAUGCCUCUGUAAACAUCUGUCAGCCAUUGCUUCCCCUCCUCCCCGCCUCCUUAUACCUCAGCAAUUCAGCAUGCCCUUUGACCUCCAGCUGAAGAAAGAGCAACUGUGAGCUUGUACCAAAAUCAAACAUACAACUUCAGCUUGUAUGUGGAUGAAUUAGGGGAUUAAUUGUUUUCUUAGAAUUAUUACGUGCAUAAAUCACACUCACUGGGGUUGUUGCAUGUAAUAUUGAUUGUGGAAUUCAAAGUUUCUCUUUUUGUUUAGUUCAUAAGGUUCGAGUCACUAGAAGGUUUGAUCCACGAUAAUAUAAACCCAUCUGUAGACUAUAGUACCAGAGACUGGACGACAUAGACCAGAGACCCUGAUCAGGCUCUCCCACCGCUUCCCCUCUGGAGCCUCAGGUUUCCCUUCCAUGCUUCCCUCCUCCCCUGCUCCCAGCAAGCCUCCGCAGGCCUCUCUCCACACAUCAAUUAUAGCCUAUCCCCUGCAGCUCCGGCCCCUCCAAUUUUUGACCCCAGGGGUGAGCGAGUCAGCGAGGUUAGAGGUUGUUCUCCCCGCAGCUCGCCCCGGCAUCUCUCAGAAGUCUAGUGCAGCACUAACUGGACUGUCAGGCGGCAUCAAGACCCCUUUCAUUAGUCAACUGGGCACCCGUGCACCAAAUAAGUUUGCAUUUACACAAGUUAUGUUUCCAUGGGAAAAAAAACAGCCCCUAAAGACACCCAUGUAUUCUCCAAACGGUGUGGUGAACGCUCUAUCAAAGGGAACAAGCCAAGUAAAACAGGAGUAACUCAAAUUCACGACUUUAGUAAGUUUAUACUUUCCAUCACCGCUGUAUUAUUAUCCAGUGUAAAUCUUAUCAUCGGUCAAUCUUUGGCGGGAAUCCCCAAAAGCAUCUUGUAUUUCUCGGCUCUACAGCUGACACUAAAUCUCCAUUGCUACUCAGCACAGUGUCACAAUGGGUCAAUCUGUGCUGUGUAUACAUAUUUUUGUAUGUAUUGAAAACUUCCCCACCAGAUGGCGCUGUUUUUUUUUCUUAUUCUUAUCAUGCAUUUAUAUUUAAUACAGAACAAGUAUUCAAAUGCAAAUUGUGGAUUAUGUAUUUGUCUCAUAAUCUUUAGCAGGCAUGUCUGGCAUAUGUGAUGGGCUAUUUUAUUGAGCCUUGUGAAUUCUGCCUGGCAACAAAUGAGCAUGUUUAUGCUUUGAGUUCAACUCUUAUUUUAGUUGUUUGUUGCUAAAAAAAAUAAUCUUAGAAAAUUUUCUUAUUCUGUGGCCUACCUAUUUUUUUUUACAUAUAAAUGUGUUUACAUAUUUAUAAUUACUUUGACUAAUAUAAAAGUGUGGAGUACUGUAGUUACAAAUAACAAUAGGACUCAACCGGGUUAAACAACUGGUGUUUUUUUUUUUCUUUUUUAAAACCGUGUGGCACUCGACCUCGCGGAAGAGCCGCACUGUAUUUCUGUCAUGGUCCCCGGACCUGGCUGUGUCAAUAGCAGACACAUUAUCUCUAAUGGGAAGAGGAGACAGGGGGAGAGAGGCCGAGAGAGGCCGAGAGACACAUCGAGACACAUCGACGGUGUAGGAGAAUGCUCCCGCUAUCGAUUAACGACAAGAGGCCCUCCACUCCACCCUCUCAUGUCCAGACAUCCAGGGUAAUAAGGACCACUCUUCUUCACUAGCUACUCAUCUUCUCCCCUCACCCCAGGUAGAAAGCCUUUUAAUCAGCUCCCAUGGGGAUACAUGCAUAUGAUAUGGGGGAAUAAGGAGGGACAGUGUGAAGAGUCCAUUAGUGAGGCAGACACAAUAGCUGCAGCACGGACAGAAUGAAAUCUCCUCAAACGCAGCCGUGACAGCCCUCUCCUGAUUAAUAUACGCAUAAAAUGGCCGGCCACAUGCAACCCAUUGGACACGUUUUCAGCCUCCUCUACCAUUUUCAAAGAGACCCCUCUUUAAGGCCGUCAGUAUUUAUGUGUGUGCAUGUGUGAGUCUGCGGUGGUAACGUUCCAAAUUACCAGCACACAUCAUGCAAGGCUGUUUUUCUUCAGUCCGGACCAUUUUCCUCUGUUUAUGUAGGGCUUUUCUGUUUUCUUUUCCAAGAAGAGAUGGCUGCCAGUCUCAGAAAGGCAGACCCAUUUUAUCAAGGAGGCCAUCUCAGACUCAUGACAUCAAAUCCAGAACUUGCUUCUCAUGCUAAGAGAAAGAAAGGACAAGGAGUGGAAAAAAAGGAGUCCUGUCAGCACCGAGGCCCACUGUUAAGCCCUCCUUAUUCUUUAGAGAUGGGUGGAGAAGAAAAUGUGGAGUACAGUUGCACAAUAUAGAAACUUGUACAGUGUCCAUUCAUGGAGAAGUAAAGCAGCACGUAGCAUCAUAGAGCAUCAAUUCUGCAUCCAGGUCCAAUUUGCUUUCUCAAAGGGUUUGUAUUGUCGCCAAAAGCUGCACAAUUCUGACCCCUAGUGGCUUUAAAUUAAACUAAAACCCAAAGCUUCUGUGGUGACUGUGAUAGCAACAGAAAUAAAAUAGUGGAGCCUUUUCCGCCUUUACAUGAUUUAGUUUUGUAAUAAAAUAGGGGUUCUACUUAUUAAAUAAAGCAGACAACUAGAUUAAAAUGGUUCACAUUCCGCAGGGCCGUCUGCUUAUUCUGCCAAGUAUUAAAACAAAUAAUGUAUUGAAAGAGAAAUGAAAUAAAGAAAUACAAUUUGAUUCAACUAACAAUCCGCUCACAAUGAGCAAGAUGUAAAACGGUCUAUCUCCACUGCGGGGCGCUAAAGAGUAUAGCAGAGGAGAGAGAGAGAGAGAGCAACGGUGCCUUCUUUGAUUGGUUGAUACAUUGUGACGAAACCGAGGUUCUAAACCAAUAGAGUGCAAUGAUGCGGAUACUUGCGUGUCAUUGGCCAAACCGUCCUGUCAAUCAAGCACGGAAGAGGUCUGAAGGAAGCUAGGCGGCCAGUGUGAUGUUUUGCUUUCUGGAGGACAGAGCUCCUCUACUGUGUCGCUUUACACACACACACACACACACACACACACACACACACACACACAUCCAUACACACUAUAGACAAAUACCUAUAUCAGAAAAAUAUAUAUGUGACAAAUUUGACAAUGGAAACGACCAUUCUCAACUUAUCGUUGAGCAUGAUAAUUAUACAAAAACAUGUAGUUGUGUUAUUUUAGAACUAAUUUAGUGAUACAAAAUAUAGAUUUCCUGAAAGAAUAUAUCUGUAUAAAUGUAAAUAUAAAAUACACUUUUACAUUUAAUAGUGAAAUUCGGUACGUCUUACUCUUUUUAUUUUUUGCAUUUAUAAUUAUGAUUCAUUGACUGAUUAUUGUAAAUAUGGUUGUAUUCUAAAUAAUGUUUCACGUAUUAAUUAUUGUUUUAUAAGUAGUUAGACUG